Molecule: ribosomal RNA, 497 nt
Filed under: uncultured bacterium
Lineage: Bacteria
Description: partial 16S ribosomal RNA
Rfam family: Bacterial small subunit ribosomal RNA
Source: RNAcentral
GAUGAACGCUGGCGGCGUGCCUAAUACAUGCAAGUCGAGCGAACGGACCAGAAGCUUGCUUCUCUGAUUUUAGCGGCGGACGGGUGAGUAACACGUGGAUAACCUACCUAUAAGACUGGGAUAACUUCGGGAAACCGUAGCUAAUACCGGAUAAUAUUUUGAACCGCAUGGUUCAAAAGUGAAAGACGGUCUUGCUGUCACUUAUCGAUGGAUCCGCGCUGCAUUAGCUAGUUGGUAAGGUAACGGCUUACCAAGGCAACGAUGCAUAGCCGACCUGAGAGGGUGAUCGGCCACACUGGAACUGAGACACGGUCCAGACUCCUACGGGAGGCAGCAGUAGGGAAUCUUACGCAAAGGGCGAAAGCCUGACGGAGCAACGCCGCGUGAGUGAUGAAGGUCUUCGGAUCGUAAAACUCUGUUAUUAGGGAAGAACAUAUGUGUAAGUAACUGUGCACAUCUUGACGGUACCUAAUCAGAAAGCCACGGCUAACUACGUG